AAGGCUUGGGCGGGGCCAGCGGGGCGAAGCCGCUUCCUUUAUCUUUCUCAACCUGCGCCUAAAUUCCGUCUGCCUCAGCCGUGCCCUUUUCCGCGACUUCCUCUGCUGCAGUGCCUGUGUUGCUCAGACAAGCCCUCAGGAAGGUGGGGAUGCAGUAACUAGCAACGCCUGGGUCCUAUCAGAACAGUCACCGUAACAGUCAAUGACCUUAAGGGUCACCAGGGUAACUGCCGCCUUUUAUAGACGAGUCUGGAGAGUCUGGUGGUUUGCCCGCCACGCUGCAAGUGGGAGCCAGCAACAGGAGGACACUAUUUUGCCACUAAGCCAAGCUGCUAGCAAGAAAGAGCCUUGCAGCACAGGGGUUCCUGGGUGGCUCUGUCAGUAAAGCGCCCAGCUUAGGCUCAGGUCAUGAUCUCACAGCUCGUGGGUGGCUCGUGGGUUACAGCUCCGGAUCUGGCUGUGUGCUGCCAGCGUAGAGCCUCUUUGGAUCCUCUCUGUCCCUCCGAGCUCACGCCCUCUCUCAAAAAUUAAAAAAAAAAAAAAGUUUAAAAAACGUUUUCAGAACCUUGCAGCACAGCUAGAAUGUAAACUGAUACCAAACAAACCAUUACUUGUCUCCACUGAUGUUUUACAAUGUUGCUUGCUGCGCCGGUUGUCAGUGUGUUAUCUCUAGCUCCGCGUUCACUCUCAUUCCAUGCACUGCAGGAUGGAGCUGGGCCCUCCGAGCGCUCUUCCCCUGCCAGGUGGGCCGUUGCAGAGAUGUGCCGGGGAAGAAACCCCCUGGGAGGCAGUGCGGGAGGAAGGGGCUUUGCUGCCCGGCUCCAGUGAGUUCCCUUGACAGCUGCAGAACGAGAGGCCUCCCCGGAGCCCACCUCCCCGCACCAAGGACGGCUUCUUCUAGCUCCAGGUUCCGCGAGCACCCGACUCCGCGGUGCAGGCUGCCAGCACGCUGCUCCAGCUCCUGCCCUAUAGCCGCAAAGGCGCGCCCCUGAACAGCUUUCCUGGCACUCCGGAGGGACUGCCAGACGUCCUGCCAGCGCUUCUCCGCCAUUUGGUGAGCUGUAGCUAGGCUAUCUCCAAGCAAGUUGGACCUCAGCCCUGGGGCUACUGCUCCUGCAGCGAUUCUGACACCAGCUGUGUGACACCAGAUCCUGACACCCAGCAAUUCUGUGACAUCGGCUGGGUAUCCCACUGUAACUCACUCUGGUACCAUCCACCUGGAGACGGCAUCACAUCCACAGGUGGAGGGCUUCAUCCUGCAAGACCCCCUACGCUUCAGACGCCAACCGCGAGUCCAAAGUGGUAUCUGUGCUUCUGACCAAUUGGCUAUGAAUAUGAAUUGGGGUUCCCAUGAUCCUCCCUCAGGUGCAAUUAACUUGUUAGAGCGGCUCACAGAACUCAGAGAAAGAGUUCACAGACUGUUUACCAACUUAUUAUAAAAGGAUAUGACAAAAGCUACAGGUAAGCCUCCAGAUGAAAGAGAUGUCUGGACCAAGGUAUAGGGACGGACACACGGGGGUUCCAUGUCUCUCCAGGUCACCAAUCCACCAGCACCACCAUGUGCUCACCAACCCAGGAGCUCUUUGAACCCAGGGAAAUAAUGAGGACCCACCAAAUGAGAACAAGAAAAGGCUAUUUGUUCAGAGCUUGCGAUAGUGAGGGAGUCACUCCAUCACCUGGCCUGGUAGAGGCCCAGAGGCAGCAAGGGAGGGGGAGAGCUUCAUGGUGGAAAAGGGGGACUCAGCGGUGCCCUGAUGGGGGCUGUGGGCCUGAGGGAGCCAGAGAUGAACUCUAGAGAAGUGGGGCAUCUCCUGUGUUCGAUUUUCUCUGGUUGGUCCUGAGUUGGACCCGGGAACAAAAAUUAGGUAAGAUGUCAGUUAUUGACCGAGUCCUGGCCAUCUGGCUUAUUUGGACCGUCAGAGGGUAUUGUAUGGCUUUCUGGGUUGUCACCAGAGCCAGCAGUCCGAAUUGCCCCAAGUCUGACUUCGAGCAGCCGGCUUCCUGGGCGGGCUUCUGCAGAGGAGGCAUUGGUUUUGGGCGGGCUGCUGCAGGCCGUGGGCCUAUUUUCAUAAAUGGUCUGGCCACUGGCCACUUGUAUAUUCAGUUUCUCAUAAUAGGCACUGAUGAGCCAGUGCAGUGUUAACAGAAAACAUUGCUCCCAAGGUCACAACUCAGCUGUGAAGUGUCCUGACAGCCUCUUCCUUCUUACCGGUAACCUCCAUUGCCUGCUCUGUGGCCCCACCUCAUGAACAAAAAUACCUAAGACCCAGUUACUAAGUGGUCCACACUUCAUGACAGCAACCAUCUGAAGAUGGCCCUCACUUCCCCUCUCCCCUCCUCAGAAUUAUUCAGUGCAACCCCAAACCUUACAAAAUUCCCUCUCCAGUCUCCUCAUGAGACACAAUGGAGAAAUCUCUAGGGUUCUCUCUUUGCAACAGGUUAAUAAACCAGACCUGGUCUAUUA
Lynx canadensis (Canada lynx) is the source of this 2464-nucleotide long non-coding RNA. RefSeq lists it as uncharacterized. The transcript is spliced from 2 exons. Lineage: Eukaryota; Metazoa; Chordata; Mammalia; Carnivora; Felidae. The record is from RefSeq and is a predicted model, not a curated record.